This 191-nucleotide ribosomal RNA is filed under the name uncultured archaeon. RNAcentral describes it as "partial 16S ribosomal RNA". It matches the Rfam family "Archaeal small subunit ribosomal RNA", at positions 726 to 916 of the family's 1478-position model. The record is from RNAcentral.
GGAUUAGAUACCCGGGUAGUCCCAGCUGUAAACUAUGCAAACUCAGUGAUGCAUUGACUUGUGGUCAAUGCAGUGCUGCAGGGAAGCCGUUAAGUUUGCCGCCUGGGAAGUACGUACGCAAGUAUGAAACUUAAAGGAAUUGGCGGGGGAGCACCACAAGGGGUGAAGCCUGCGGUUUAAUUGGACUCAAC